GUAGGGUGCAAGCGUUAAUCGGAAUUACUGGGCGUAAAGCGUGCGCAGGCGGGUUUGUAAGACAGUGGGUGAAAUCCCCGGGGCUCAACCUGGGAACUGCCAUUGUGACUGCAAGGCUCGGGGUGCGGCAGAGGGGGGAUGGAAUUCCGCGUGUAGCAGUGAAAUGCGUAGAUAUGCGGAGGAACACCGAUGGCGAAGGCAAAACCCCUGGGCCUGCACUGACGCUCAUGCACGAAAGCGUGGGGAGCAAACAGGAUUAGAUACCCUGGUAGUCCACGCCCUAAACGAUGUCAACUGGUUGUUGGGAAUUUAUUUUCUCAGUAACGGAGCUAACGCGUGAAGUUGACCGCCUGGGGAGUACGGCCGCAAGGUUA
This 374-nucleotide ribosomal RNA is filed under the name uncultured organism. RNAcentral's name for it is "partial 16S ribosomal RNA". It matches the Rfam family "Bacterial small subunit ribosomal RNA", at positions 527 to 896 of the family's 1533-position model. The record is from RNAcentral.